CAUUUGAAAUCAUUUGUUUUUCAUUCAGCCAUCAUUGUGAUUCAGAAAAAAUAUCAGAUACAUAUACUAAACAAAGCACAGUAUCAUUGCAACUUUAGUUAUCAUCUGCCUGUAUAUGUCAUUAUAAUUUAACUUUUGCUGGCACGUUUGAUCAUAUUACCGGAUUUGCUUACUAGUACUGCCCAAAAAUUCAUACACGGUGAUACUAGACAGGUGAUAAACAUGUAGUAUUUUCACUGGCCACAAGGUGUCAGCGUAUAUUCUAUUUUCAAGGCGAUGUGUGUUUGCGCAUGAACUCCAGGGUGCACAAUGCCUGAUGCCUCGGGUUUUCUGGGGUAGGCUUUCCGCGACCCCGCGUUCUACCAGCCGCGCGUUCAUGAAUAGCUGCUUGCUUAUUGUGUAUUAUUGCAUUCUAGGCUGAUUGCAGAGAUCUGUACACUACGAGAUAUUUUACUUAAAGAAUAUGUCACAGUUGUACUAUGAAACAUCACCUUUUCAUAUGUAUUUGGAUAUGUUACUGGCUAUUUUAUACAAAACAAAUCAUAAUAUGUAUACACAAUUUGCAUGUUUGUGGUAUGACUAAAAUAAAAAAUAUUUUUAUUUACUAAAAACAUCCCUCCGUGGUUUUCUGCAGUUCACGGACUGUGCAAUCUAAAAACAAAUCGUACCAUACGUAACAUUAAAACAUUUCAGCAAAUCCUGUAGGCCUACAUCGAAUAAUAGAAACCAGCGUCGCUUUGAAACACUUAUUUCCCUACCAUAGAUAGGAGAAAUGACCUAAAGAUUCGGUUUAACUGUAAUAACAAUAAAAUGUAUCUCGUAAAACGCGCUGUUUGCUCGAGUGCUACCGCGCUGGAACCGUCUGGGAUGCGCUGUACCGAAGCCCACAUAUAUAAACGACUGUGCGUUAAACUUUAUUUUCUCCUAUAAACUACACAAGAUCCACGGUUAGCCUUUGAAGACCAGUUUUGAUCCUGAUACCAACAAUGAUAUUGUUUGCAGAUGUGGACAUUGUCGCAACUGGAGGACGUUAGGGAGCCAAGGGCAACAAAAUCAUGGAACAUCACUCUGUGUUUCCUCCUCAGACCCAGUGCAAUAAAGCGGAGACAGAUCCAAUCUCCCAGGCGGGCUCCUUCAGCGAACUGCACGACGCACACAAGCUGGAGAGUGAAGCUUUAUGGAGGGUUAAUCUUCCGGUUAGAUCUUGCUGAUUGUUCCGGGCCGGUGUCAGGCCUGAGGUACGGUGACACACCGUGACAG
This is a long non-coding RNA of Paramormyrops kingsleyae, 1260 nucleotides long. RefSeq lists it as uncharacterized. NCBI's taxonomy places the organism in Eukaryota, Metazoa, Chordata, Actinopteri, Osteoglossiformes, Mormyridae. The record is from RefSeq and is a predicted model, not a curated record.